Long non-coding RNA from Myotis myotis, 1917 nucleotides. RefSeq lists it as uncharacterized. The record is from RefSeq and is a predicted model, not a curated record. The transcript is spliced from 3 exons. NCBI's taxonomy places the organism in Eukaryota, Metazoa, Chordata, Mammalia, Chiroptera, Vespertilionidae.
UACCGACUUCAGGGUGGAGGGCAGAUGAGUUAUAUGGAACAUUGGAGAUGGAGGGCAGCUGCAGGGGACCAUAUGACAUGUUUCCAAAGUGGCAAUCUGUUGUAUUUCCUGGGGCCCGAUGCAUGAAGAUUUGUGCAAGAAUAGGCCUUCCUUCCCCUGGCUGCCAACACUGCCUUCACUCCGGCCCAGAGUCACCUUUCCGCCUUCGCACGCUACCCAGAGGCCCAGAGUGGCCGGAGCAGGGCAGAAAGCCUGUGUUGUCACCAUGGCAACGACGCAAGUGUCCUGGCCUGACCACCUCCAUCUUCGUCACAUCAAUUUGCAUAUUCCCUCCUUAUUGGCUGUGGGUGCCCCAUCUUUGUUGUGAAGUGAUGGUCAAUUUGCUUAUUGUGUCUUUAUUAGAUAGGAUAGUGAUCUAUGAUCAAUGAUAUUUGAUGUUACUAAGGUAAGACCCUCCACCAGAAAAGAUAUUAUGACUUGUUGAGGGCUCAGGUGAUGUUUAGCAGUUUUUAGCAAUAUAAGUAUUUUUAAUUAUAUAUAAUAUUUUUUAGACAUAAUCUUAUUACACACUUCAUAGACUACAUUAAAGUGUAAAUAUAACUUUAUAUGCACUGGGAAGUCAAACAAUUUGCAUGCCUAGCUUUAUGGUGGUAUUCGCUUCAUUUCAGUGGUCUGGAACUGAACCCAUAAUAUAUCCAAGAUAUGCUUGUAGAUAAUUUUAUGAUUAGUAUAUAGAGUUGUGCAAGCAUAUUGGUGAAAAACUAUAUAAUAAUGGCAGAGAGUACUGAUAACAGCAGUAAAAGGAAAUAUUUAAGGGGGUAUGAUCAUUAAAAUGUCUUAUUUGUUCAUAAAACUACAUUCCUCUCUUCAGCUUUGCCAGGGUCAGUAUAUACUUCCUUAGCCCUUGACUUUGGCCUUGGCCAUGUGAUUUACUUUGACCCAUGUAAUAUUUUCCAGUUCUGAGUCAGGGUUUCUAAAGGCAUUACCUAUUUCUGCUUGCCCUUUUGUAGUACUAUCAUUUGCAUGAGAUAAACAAACUCCAGCUAAUUCUGGCUUCUUUAUUUUGGAAUCACAAUGAGAUGCAUGGAGCACAUUUGAACCCAACUUGGCUGAGCCAAGCCCACCUGUACAAUGUGAGAAGAACAAAAGUGACUGGGAUUUUAGAGUUAUUUGUUAUGAAGCAUUAUUUCAGUUGAACCUGAUUAGCAUACAUAUGCAAUAUCAUUUAUCUUUACAGUAAUUCUAUGAGAGAGACACUGCUGAUUCCAUUUCAAACAAGGAAAAUAUUAUUCACAGAACUUAAAUGCCAGAGUCACAUAACUAAUAAAUGUUUGGAACAGGCUUAGAAUCCAAGAGAUUCUGACUCUAAAUUUAGGCUCUAUUGAUCCUUAUAAAAAAUUACUCUUAAUUUAUAUAUAAUGAUAUGAGAACUAUAGUAUUAUAUGAUAGAAUACUUACUUUGAAUUUUUAUAUAUGCUUUGUUUUGCUAGUUAUGAAUUCUCCCCAAAGUAUACAUUUCUCAAAAGUUGCAUCUUUGCCUGAUGCCUCUUAUAUUCACCACAAUAUUGAGUCUCUCACUUUGUGUAUUGUUGACUCAUAGGAAAGAUUUGCAGAUUGACAGAUUGAUGUAAUGACAUUUUAUCAUAUAUUUGCUGUUUAUAUAACACGAUAAAGGUUAUUAUUGCCAAACAAACUUGUCCUUGUGUUUAUUCCCAAGAGCUCAGUAAAAGUAAGAAUAACUCUCUUAGUCCUCAGCGCUUCUCUCCCUCAUUUCUUUGCCUAAGCUCUUGGUUGAUGGCUGGUACUCUGCUGCCCCCUGGAGGGUCACUGAAUUUUGUGCUUUUGUGUAAAGAAUAGCAGCAGAUUGACAAGACACAGCAACAGAAAGUUACACUUUCUAAGAAACACAGAUUCAGA